CAGUAGCCGCGGUAAAACGUAGGGUCCGAGCGUUGUCCGGAAUUAUUGGGCGUAAAGAGCUCGUAGGCGGUCUGUCGCGUCUGCCGUGAAAUCCUCAGGCUCAACCUGAGGCGUGCGGUGGGUACGGGCAGGCUAGAGUGCGGUAGGGGAGAAUGGAACUCCUGGUGUAGCGGUGGAAUGCGCAGAUAUCAGGAAGAACACCGAUGGCGAAGGCAGUUCUCUGGGCCGUAACUGACGCUGAGGAGCGAAAGCGUGGGGAGCGAACAGGAUUAGAUACCCCCGUAGUCCCUGUCUCUUAUAC
Molecule: ribosomal RNA, 301 nt
Filed under: uncultured bacterium
Lineage: Bacteria
Description: partial 16S ribosomal RNA
Rfam family: Bacterial small subunit ribosomal RNA
Source: RNAcentral